Molecule: long non-coding RNA, 5400 nt
Filed under: Fragaria vesca (wild strawberry)
Lineage: Eukaryota; Viridiplantae; Streptophyta; Magnoliopsida; Rosales; Rosaceae
Description: long non-coding RNA (FVES_LNC000544)
Source: RNAcentral
GUAAUGCGCACUAGUCUCUCUAGACUAUAUUUAAGAUUAUCUAGUUUAAUCUAGAACUUAUCUCUAGUGAUCAUGUAUGGUUGUAGAAAAAUCUAGAUUAAAUGUAAUUAAAUAUAAUCUAGUAUUGUUUAGAGUGAAAUCAUGUCAGUGGAGGUAAACCAAUGUCGGUUUACAACUCUAUAAAUAUGUAUCAAAGCUUGUAUCAUGAUGUAAUCAACCAAGCUAUCAAUACAAACUCUGUUUUUCUACAACAACUAAAUCUCCUCUGUUGCACACCUUCUCUAAUCCAAAUCUUCCAUUUCCUAAACACUCUUUGGCCUAAACACUAACUACCUUACCUUCUAGAAACCAUCAGUGGUAUCAGAGCAGUUCUGAUCUAUUCGAGGCGUGUCACCAUGGCGUCAUCUAUCUCCCACCAAAACUCCCUACCUCUUCCAAUCUUCUCCGGUGAGAACUAUGACUUUUGGAGCAUCAAAAUGAAGACUUACUUCAUGUCUCAAGAUCUAUGGGACAUAGUCGACAAAGGAUUCACAACUACAGAGAAUCCUUCGGUUGAGCAACUACGGCAAGAGAGGAAGGAGAAGCAAAGAGAUGCUAAUGCUCUUUACGCCAUCCAACAAGCAGUGGAUGAUGCGAACUUCUCAAGGAUCAUGGGAGCUUCUACAGCGAAGGAGGCUUGGGACUGGUUGAAGGAGGAAUUUCAAGGGACUGCUAAGGUGCGCUCUAUCAAAUUACAAACUAUGAGGAGAGAGUUGGAAAACUUGAAGAUGAAAGAUUCUGAGAUCAUUAAAGAUUAUUACUCUCGUCUUAAGGGAGUAGUGAAUCAGUUAAGGGCCUAUGGAGAAAACAUAUCUGAAACUAGAGUUGUUGAAAAAAAUACUUAUCAGUCUAACUGAGAAGUAUGAUCCGGUAGUUACUGCUAUAGAAAACUCUAGUGACAUAUCUCAACUUUCGGUGACUGAACUCAUAGGCUCAUUAGAAGAAAAAAGAUUGAGUAGCCGGGAUGAUACUCCACUAGAGAGUGCAUUUCAGUCUAACUCAAUCUACGAUCUACAGAAUUAUAAAGAGAAGAAAAGAAGAUAAAUGAUUAUACCUAGAGGAGGAGAAAAACUAAAAAUUGGGAAAAUAAAGAGACUUUAAGCAAAGAAGAACUUAUCCUCCAUGUGGGAUAUGUAAGAAUACCAAUCACAAAGAAGUAGAUUGCUGGUUUCGGGGUAAGCCGAAAUGCCGAAAUUGCAAUAGAUUUGGCCAUGUUGAAAAGAAUUGUCGGCUCAAGAAGAAGUAUCAAGCCAAUUUUUCAAAGGAGAAUGAAGAAGAUGAGCACCUAUUCUACUCAUGUGAAGCUGCAUCUGAGGAGAAAAACCAGACAUGGUAUGUAGAUAGUGGUUGUAGCAAUCACAUGUCAGGGGAUGAAUCUAUCUUCUCCAACCUUGAUACAUCAAGGAAGUUACGAGUGAAACUGGGGAAUGGUGCUUUGGUGCAUACAAAAGGUAAAGGUACGAUCUCCAUCCAAACUAAUUUAGGAACUAAGUGUAUUGAUGAUGUUUUAUUAGUUCCUAGUUUAGAGCAUAAUCUGUUAAGUGUUGGUCAAAUGAUGGAGAAUGGUUAUGUUCUAUUAUUCUCUGGAGACUCUUGUAAAAUAUAUGAUAAAAAAGAAGGAUGAUAUUUAAUGUAAAGAUGGAAAAUAGAAGUUUUCCUAUCCAAUGGUUACAAAUGGCCAUGAAGGCAGCUGUAGAUGAUUCAUGGCUAUGGCAUAAACGCUUUGGUCACUUCAAUUUCCAUGCUUUGAGAACUCUUUCUCAAAGAAAAAUGAUGAAGGACCUGCCAAGCAUAGAGGUGAUUGAAGAUGUCUGUAGAGCCUGCCAACUCGGGAAGCAGCAGAGACAAGCAUUUCCUUCUGGAAGAGAUUGGAGAGCAAAAGACUACUUGGAGCUUGUGCAUACGGACGUCUGUGGACCUAUGAGGACUCCAUGUCUUGAUCAAAGCAGGUACUUCAUUCUUUUCAUUGAUGAUUAUACUAGAAUGACAUAGGUCUACUUUCUACGUGAAAGGUCUGAAGUUUUCAAGAUCUUUCAAAAGUUCAAGAACCAUGUUGAAAAACAAAGUGGCCAUUACAUCAAAGCUCUUAGAAGUGACAGAGGUAAAGAAUAUACCUCUAAACAAUUCAACAAAUUUUGUGAAGAUGAAGGAGUAGAGCACCAACUAACAGUGGGCUAUGCUCCUGAACAAAAUGGAGUCUCUGAGAGAAAAAAUAGAACCGUGAUGGAGAUGGCAAGGUCAAUGUUAUGUGAAAAACACUUGCCAAAGACUUUUUGGGCAGAAGCUGUAUAUACAGCAGUCUACUUGCUAAAUAGAUGUCCAACAAAAACUCUACAAGACAAGACACAAAUUGAAGCUUGGAGCAACAAGAAGCCAUCAGCAAAGCAUCUCAAGGUCUUUGGGAGCAUUUGCUAUGUUCAUAUUCCAGCUGUUAAAAGACACAAGUUGGAAGAAAAAUCAGAAGUUGGUAUAUUAGUUGGCUACAGCUCGCAGGCUAAAGGUUACCGAGUAUACAAUCCAAAAAUGGAGAAGCUCAUGAUCAACAGGGAUGUUAAGUUCGAUGAAGCUGCCUAUUGGGAUUGGGAAAAAGAAGAAGUUAUGAAGAACAAAUUUGUCCCAACAGAAAAGCAGCAGAUUACAUCUCCUUUGCAUUCAAGGGAAGAAGAAUUUGAAGAAGAAACUUCAGAAUUUCCAGGUACGCCCUCUAUUACUCUUCCAUCUAAUCAAGAAGAAGAUGAUGUUCCAGAAUCUCCACCUAGAAGAGUAAAGUCAUUGAGGGAUAUAUACGAAACAUGCAAUUUCGUAUCUUUAGAACCUGAAAGUUUUGAAGCUGCAGUAAAACAAGAAAAUUGGAGAAAAGCCAUGGAAGAAGAAAUUAAAACAAUUGAAAAAAAUCAAACAUGGGAACUUGUAGAGCGCCCACCAAACAAAGAGAUAAUUGGUGUUAAAUGGGUCUAUAAGACCAAAGUCAAUCCCGAUGGCUCAAUACAAAAAUACAAAGCAAGAUUAGUAGCAAAAGGCUACUCACAACAGCCAGGGUUAGACUACAACGAGACCUUUGCACCUGUUGCAAGGCUCGACACAAUAAGGGCUCUUGUAGCUCUUGCAGCUCAAAAGAGAUGGAAAAUAUAUCAACUUGAUGUUAAGUCGGCUUUCCUAAAUGGUGAACUCGAAGAAGAAAUCUAUGUGGAGCAACCGCAAGGAUUCAUAAAGAAAGGAGGAGAAGACAAAGUGUUCCGGUUGAAGAAAGCUCUAUAUGGGCUUAAGCAAGCACCACGAGCAUGGAACAGUCGCAUCGAUAGAUACUUCAUCAAUGCUGGAUUCAAGAGGAGCAAGAGUGAGCCAACUCUCUACACCAAAACUCAAGGUAACUCUAUCCUCAUCGUCUCUUUAUAUGUGGAUGAUCUCAUUUAUACUGGUGAUAAUGAUGAAAUAAUUCAAGAGUUCAAACAAGACAUGAUGAGGACAUUGAGAUGAGUGAUCUCGGCCUAAUGCAUUAUUUUCUUGGUAUUGAGAUACACCAAGAAGCAAAUGGGAUUUUCAUAUGUCAAAAGAAGUAUACUGAAAAUCUCUUGAAGAAAUUCAAAAUGAAUGGGUGCAAGGCCGUGGCAACUCCACUCAUCACUAAUGAGAAAUUUAGAAAGGAGGAUGGCUCUCCGAAAGCGAAUGCAUCUAGCUAUAGAAGUCUCAUUGGAAGCUUACUUUAUUUGACUACAACUCGACCCGAUAUUAUGUAUGCAACAAGCCUUCUAUCGAGGUUCAUGCAUAGUCCAAGUCGGAUACAUUAUGGUGCCGCAAAGAGGAUCUUGAGAUAUCUACAAGGUACCAUUAAUUAUGGUAUCUGGUACCGGCCUACUUCAAAGACAAAGCUUGUUGGCUUUGAAUCAAAAUUGUUUGGCUACACGGACAGUGACUGGGCUGGAUCAAUGGAUGAUAUGAGAAGUACUUCAAGCUAUGCAUUCACUAUCGGGUCUGGCAUAUUCUCUUGGUCUUCAAAGAAACAAGAGACAACUGCCUUGUCGUCAGCUGAAGCGGAAUACGUUGCAGCAGCAAGCUCAGCAUGUCAAGCAAUNNNNNNNNNNNNNNNNNNNNAAUGGCGAAGAAUCCGGUAUGUCAUAACAAAACGAAGCAUAUCAAGAUCAAGCAUCACUUCUUGAGAGAAGCUUCAAAAAACAAAGAAAUUGAGCUCCACUACUGCAAGACAGAAUUACAGCUAGCCGACAUCUUCACUAAGGCACUCGCAAGAACAAGAUUUGAAAUACUGCGAAGCAUGCUUGGAGUAGCACCAAUGCGCAUUAAGGAAGAGUGUUAAACAGUAAUGCGCACUAGUCUCUCUAGACUAUAUUUAAGAUUAUCUAGUUUAAUCUAAAACUUAUCUCUAGUGAUCAUGUAUGGUUGUAGAAAAAUCUAGAUUAAAUGUAAUUAAAUAUAAUCUAGUAUUGUCUAGAGUGAAGUCAUGUCAAUGGAGGUAAACCAAUGUCGGUUUACAACUUUAUAAAUAUGUAUCAAAGCUUGUAUCAUGAUGUAAUCAACCAAGCUAUCAAUACAAACUCUGUUUUUCUACAACAACUAAAUCUCCUCUGUUGCACACCUUCUCUAAUCCAAAUCUUCCAUUUCCUAAACACUCUUUGGCCUAAACACUAACUACCUUACCUUCUAAAAACCAUCAGUUAAACGCGUCUAUGGAAUGUCAUUCUCAGUUCAUGGCUGCAAAAUCCCCUUCCAUAUUAAGUAGCGUUCAUGUGCUUACUGCUCCUUCUACCCCUUCAGCAUGGAAACCACCGACCCCUCGGUUCCUGAAGCUCAACUUUGACGGUGCAACAGAUCAUAAAAAUGGCAACAGUGGUCUAGGGGCAGUGUUCCGAGACCAUUUAGGUACUUUGAUUGCUGCCCUGGCCAUCCCAAUUGUUGGCCUACUCCCUCCUAGAACUGUUGAGAUUUUGGCUUUGUUAUAUGGCUUGCUGUUUGCUUCCCGUGCUUGUUUCUUUGCCUUGGAAUUCGAAGGAGAUGCUCCAAGUGUCACAAACACUCCAUGAGGACAGCUCUGAUCUCAGAUGGGAAGGUCACUUGUAUAUUAGAUGAUAUCAGGUUUCUUCUUCGUUACUUUCCUCGAUGUUCAUGGUGUUAUAUUCCUCGUGCAUCUAAUUUGGUGGCUCAUAAUCUAACCAAGCUCUUGAAGUUACAACUUUGAUUAAAAAAAAAUUAAAAAAAAAACUUUACGUAUUAACAAUAUUACGUACUAGUAAAGUCGUCGCAAAAAGAAGGGAAAAUUACGUACUAAUUGGUACUUGGUCACGCACCACUUGCCUUUUUAUCCAAACAAUUUACGGUGGCACCAAUUAGUCCGGAUCUGCAAUCUCU